ACUGCUCAGUAACACGUGGACAACCUACCCUCAGCAUGGGGAUAAACCCGGGAAACUGGGUAUAAUACCCGAUAGUUCUGGGAUGCUGGAAUGCUUCCAGGACGAAAGCUCCGGCGACUGAGGAUGGGUCUGCGGCCUAUCAGGUAGUAGUGGGUGUAAUGUACCUACUAGCCUACGACGGGUACGGGUCGUGAGAGCGAGAGCCCGGAGAUGGAUUCUGAGACACGAAUCCAGGCCCUACGGGGUGCAGCAGGCGCGAAAACUUUACAAUGCUGGCAACAGCGAUAAGGGGACCUCGAGUGCCAGGAUACAAUCUUGGCUGUCGUAAUGCCUAAAAAGCAUUGCAUAGCAAGGGCCGGGCAAGACCGGUGCCAGCCGCCGCGGUAACACCGGCGGCUCGAGUGGUAACCGCUAUUAUUGGGUCUAAAGGGUCUGUAGCCGGCCGGAUAAGUCUUUUGGGAAAUCCAGCUGCUCAACAGUUGGGCUUUCAGAAGAUACUGUUCGGCUCGAGGCCGGGAGAGGUGAGAGGUACUUCAGGGGUAGGGGUGAAAUCUUGUAAUCCUUGAAGGACCACCAGUGGCGAAGGCGUCUCACCAGAACGGUCCUGACGGCAAGGGACGAAAGCUAGGGGCACGAACCGGAUUAGAUACCCGGGUAGUCCUAGCCGUAAACGAUACUCGCUAGGUGUCAGCCACGGUGCGACCGUGGUUGGUGCCGUAGGGAAGCCGUGAAGCGAGCCACCUGGGAAGUACGGCCGCAAGGCUGAAACUUAAAGGAAUUGGCGGGGAGCAC
Molecule: ribosomal RNA, 792 nt
Filed under: uncultured archaeon
Lineage: Archaea
Description: bacterial SSU rRNA
Rfam family: Archaeal small subunit ribosomal RNA
Source: RNAcentral